UCCCAUGUGGUCUAGUGGUUAGGAUUUCUGGUUUUCACCCAGGCGGCCCGGGUUCGAUUACCGGCAUAGGAA
RNAcentral lists this transfer RNA (72 nucleotides) under Pristionchus pacificus. RNAcentral describes it as "tRNA-Glu (TTC) (tRNA-Glu-TTC-8-1)". It matches the Rfam family "tRNA". Rfam says of the family: Transfer RNA (tRNA) molecules are approximately 80 nucleotides in length. Their secondary structure includes four short double-helical elements and three loops (D, anti-codon, and T loops). Lineage: Eukaryota; Metazoa; Nematoda; Chromadorea; Rhabditida; Neodiplogasteridae. The record is from Rfam by way of RNAcentral.